AUGCAUUGGCAAGCUUCGAAAAAAAUGGCAAUCCCUAAGUCCAAGGGUCGCAUGGGAUUUAGGGAUAUGGAAGUUUUCAAUGAUACAAUGUUGGCCAAGCAGGCUUGGAGACUAUUAGAAUAUCCUAAUAGCUUGUGUGCGAGGGUAUUGAAAGGGUGAUACUAUCCAGAUGGUUUGUUCCUAUCUGCAAACUGCCCCGCAAGUGCCUCUCGAACUUGGAAGGCAAUUAUAUGUGGGUGUGAGAUCCUGAAGGCGGGGCUUAUUCGCUGUAUUGGAGAUGGAACAAAGACGGAGAUAUGGCAUGACAAUUGGAUUGAGGGCACAAGAUCCAUGCGCCCAAUAGGGAGGCUCACUCAUAACCCGGUUCAGCUGGUUGGUGAUUUGUUGGAUCUGGACACUGGGAAGUGGGAUGAUGAGAUGGUACGUCAAGUAUUCCUGCCACCAGAUGUUGAAGUUAUAUUGGCAAUGUCGAGGCCUAGACGAGGUGGAGAGGAUAUUUGGGCGUGGGCGUGGGAGAAAUCUGGUGCUUUCAGUGUAAGAUUAGCCUACCGAGAGAUAAUGGACAGAAAACAAAACUUGCAGGCCAGGAAGGGUAGUUCUCGGGGGGCUGAUCACACGUGGAAGGAGCUCUGGAAGCUAAAGUGCUGCCGAAGAUCUAGGUCUUCUGGUAGCGGGUACCCUGCAUGA
This 687-nucleotide ribosomal RNA is filed under the name Triticum aestivum (bread wheat). RNAcentral's name for it is "partial small subunit ribosomal RNA". Lineage: Eukaryota; Viridiplantae; Streptophyta; Magnoliopsida; Poales; Poaceae. The record is from RNAcentral.